UGAUGAACCUCUUAAGUGCAAAAGAUACCA
RNAcentral lists this non-coding RNA (30 nucleotides) under Cricetulus griseus (Chinese hamster). The record is from RNAcentral. Lineage: Eukaryota; Metazoa; Chordata; Mammalia; Rodentia; Cricetidae.